GCUGACGAGUGGCGAACGGGUGAGUAAUGCAUCGGAACGUGCCCAGUCGUGGGGGAUAACGCAGCGAAAGCUGUGCUAAUACCGCAUACGAUCUAUGGAUGAAAGCGGGGGAUCGCAAGACCUCGCGCGAUUGGAGCGGCCGAUGUCAGAUUAGCUAGUUGGUGGGGUAAAGGCCCACCAAGGCGACGAUCUGUAGCUGGUCUGAGAGGACGACCAGCCACACUGGGACUGAGACACGGCCCAGACUCCUACGGGAGGCAGCAGUGGGGAAUUUUGGACAAUGGGCGCAAGCCUGAUCCAGCAAUGCCGCGUGCAGGAAGAAGGCCUUCGGGUUGUAAACUGCUUUUGUACGGAACGAAAAGGUCUGGGUUAAUACCCUGGGCUCAUGACGGUACCGUAAGAAUAAGCACCGGCUAACUACGUGCCAGCAGCCGCGGUAAUACGUAGGGUGCAAGCGUUAAUCGGAAUUACUGGGCGUAAAGCGUGCGCAGGCGGUUUUGUAAGACAGGCGUGAAAUCCCCGGGCUCAACCUGGGAAUGGCGCUUGUGACUGCAAAGCUGGAGUGCGGCAGAGGGGGAUGGAAUUCCGCGUGUAGCAGUGAAAUGCGUAG
This 610-nucleotide ribosomal RNA is filed under the name activated sludge bacterium GC_R2A_S_13. RNAcentral describes it as "bacterial SSU rRNA". It matches the Rfam family "Bacterial small subunit ribosomal RNA", at positions 87 to 693 of the family's 1533-position model. The record is from RNAcentral.